Silurus meridionalis is the source of this 1512-nucleotide long non-coding RNA. RefSeq lists it as uncharacterized. Lineage: Eukaryota; Metazoa; Chordata; Actinopteri; Siluriformes; Siluridae. The record is from RefSeq and is a predicted model, not a curated record. The transcript has 2 exons.
GCUCCUGCUGAUCCUGGAUCAGGUAUCUGAGUGUAGAACCGGAGUGAAUCCUGAUUGGCCAAUCUGCGAAUCCCACGCGUCCAGGUAGAUGACGUCAUGAUGAGAAGUUAAGUCGACAUUCCAGACCGCUCCUUAAGAGAGAUCCAUGCCUAGAACAAGUGUCAUGCAGAGAUCCCUGACCUUCAACCACACUCAACACCUUCAGGAUGAACUGAACCUGGAAAAUGAGGACACAUACCUUUGAAUGCUGUUUGUUAACUUCAGGAGAACACAUGGUGAUCACUCCCUGCUGAAUAAACAACAGCUCCUCCAUAGUGUCAUUUUAUUAUGGGGACAAUUCAUUUGACUAUCACAGAUCUUCUGUCCUGGUCUGUGCUGCAGUGUCCCUGUGUCUAAUGUCUCACUGUCUUAUGUUGUUGUUUUUGCACUGAAUGUCACACACAUACAUUUGAUCUUCUGUGCUUUAUGCUACUUUUCAUUUAUUUAUGUUGUCUGAUGGAGCACCUUAGUCCUGGAGGAAUAAUGUAUUGUUUCACUGUGUAUUGUAUUGUAUAAGUUUGAAUGACAAUCAAAGCCGACUUGACUUAAAAUACCAACUCUUUCGUAGACCUUCUCACCAAACAACAUUCAUGAAGCUGACUGAACACAAAAGCCAGUCUCUAAAAUUUGGUAGAAAUCCUGCCCAGAAAAAAAGAAAAUGGGGUUUCAGUACAUAUUCAUAUCUAUGGUUUUGAAAUAAGAUUUUGAAGGACAGUUUUGCUUGUUUGUUCACUUAAUUUUUUAUAUAUUGUUGGAUCGCAGUAUCAAUAGGCACGGGUGCAACUGCACAUUUGCUAAAGGGUACGCACGAUCAUGGUUAAUGCCCCUCUCCCCCUCCCAAAAAAAGAGGGGUAAAAACUCACAAACACAAUUUUUAUUCUGCACCAGUGAUUCUAAUUCAAUUAAUAUUAGUUCAACACAGGAAAACAUUGUGGAAAAGUUCAAUGAGGGUUGAGGUUAGGCAAGAUACUGUGUGUGUGUGUGUGUGUGUGUGUGUGUGUGUGUGUGUGUGUGUGUGUGUGUGUGUGUGUGUGUGUGUGUGUGUUUUCACAGUAGCGACAGCUAGUAGUCAAGCUAAUUAUAUCAACAAUUGCUCAUCAGUUCACAGGAUACAAGGAAUGUUCUUCACCUCCAAGUCCCAAACAUACAUCCAAAUACUUGAGCUGAUAUAUGAAUAGACCAUAUAUAUAUAUAUAUAUAUAUAUAGUUAGUUUGUAGUUUUAUGGAAGCUGUUGUACCAACUAUAAGCUGUGUUUUGAAUUACACUGCCCUUCACCUCUCACACCUCUCACACUAUACAUUAUUCCUCCUAGUGACUCAGGUCUCUAUUUAAACAUUCUUUCAUGGGGGCUCCACCGCAUGUGGCACAGUCAGUCUGUCAGCCUUGUGCAUGGAGACAAGUGCCAAAAUCUGAGAUGUGCUAAGAUGUCCCUGAUAGCUCUUGGAAACUGUCUUAUGUUACUGUUAAAACUA